GUGUGGGUAGUUUGACUGACAUAAGGGGUGUGUGGGUAGUUUGACUGACAGGGGUGUGUGGGUAGUUUGACUGACGGGGGGGUGUGGGUAGUUUGACUGACAGGGGGGUGUGGGUAGUUUGACUGACAUAGUGGGUGUGUGGGUAGUUUGACUGACAGGGGUGUGUGGGUAGUUUGACUGACAGAGGGGUGUGUGGGUAGUUUGACUGACAUAGUGGGUGUGUGGGUAGUUUGACUGACAUAGGGGUGUGUGGGUAGUUUGACUGACAUAACGGGUGUGUGGGUAGUUUGACUGACAUAAGGGGGGUGUGGGUAGUUUAACUGACAUAAGGGUGUGUGGGUAGUUUGACUGACAUAAGGGGUGUGUGGGUAGUUUGACUGACAUAGUGGGUGUGUGGGUAGUUUGACUGACAGGGGUGUGUGGGUAGUUUGACUGACAUAGGGGUGUGUGGGUAGUUUGACUGACAGGGGUGUGUGGGUAGUUUGACUGACAUAGUGGGUGUGUGGGUAGUUUGACUGACAUAAGGGGGUGUGGGUAGUUUGACUGACAGGGGGGUGUGUGGGUAGUUUGACUGACAUAAGGGGUGUGUGGGUAGUUUGACUGAUAGGGGUGUGUGGGUAGUUUGACUGACAGGGGUGUGUAGGUAGUUUGACUGACAGGGGUAUGUGGGUAGUUUGACUGACAUAAGGGGUGUGUGAGUAGUUUGACUGACAUAGUGGGUGUGUGGGUAGUUUGACUGACAUAGGGGUGUGUGGGUAGUUUGACUGACAGGGGUGUGUGGGUAGUUUGACUGACAGGGGUGUGUGGGUAGUUUGACUGACAUAAGGGGUGUGUGGGUAGUUUGACUGACAGGGGUGUGUGGGUAGUUUGACUGACAUGAGGUGUGUGGGUAGUUUGACUGACAGGGGUGUGUGGGUCGUUUGAGAAAUCUGUUAGUUUCAGUCUUGUAAUUCCGUGAGGGUUUUGAAAUGUUCUGUAACUGUGUUCUAGCUGUUAUAUCAAAGCACAAUUACACCGAUAUGUAGAGGUGGUGAUGUAAAAUAUAAAGUAGAGGAAUUCUUAUGCAUAUUACCAAUCUCAUUAUUAUUACUGUAUAGACUUUUUAAGUUUGUUUUCUUUACUACAGCAUAGGGUUACAAAAUUUGCAGUAAAUUUCCCCCAAAAUGUCCAGGUGUUUUCAGAAAUCCCCGUUUUGAAGAUUCCCCGGUAUCAGGAGAGAUCUUCCUGUUGGGAACCCGCCGACCGGGGAUCUUCAGAAGACCUGGGAAUUUCAAACCCGACUACAGAAACAUUUUACAGGCUGUUCUAUUUAUCUAAUAAAACAUAUUAUAAUCAAAAUUCAAAUAUCAUUUUUUUUUAACAUUUGUUAUUUUAAUGGAGGUCUCAUUUCUCGUGUUUUCUGACUUGUUAUGGAAAUGAUGUUUUCAAUAUAAGCAGAGGAAGGUUAUAGUGUGCGUGCAUCCGUGCAUGUGUGAAUGCAUAAAAUACCUUGCCAAAGCACAUUUGAUUGAAUCAGACCCAUUCUUGAAUUUUAUUUCCACUUUUAGUUGCUCCGUAACUGAUUUAAAUAUGCACCAAUUCGUGUAGCUAAAGCCUUUGACUUCAUUAACUAUGUUCAUCACAUACUCCCCCCUAUCUCCAAUUCCUCAGCCCUCCAAUUCCAUUCAAUCUAUUAGACAGAGAGGGAGUCAUUUAUACUGAACAAGAAUAUAAAAACAACAUGCAACAAUUUCACCUAUUUUACUGAGUUACAUUUCAUAAUAAGGAAAUAAAUUCAUUAGGUCUUAA
Molecule: long non-coding RNA, 1788 nt
Organism: Salvelinus fontinalis (brook trout)
Lineage: Eukaryota; Metazoa; Chordata; Actinopteri; Salmoniformes; Salmonidae
Exons: 2
Source: RefSeq, a predicted model, not a curated record